RNAcentral lists this ribosomal RNA (253 nucleotides) under uncultured bacterium. RNAcentral describes it as "partial 16S ribosomal RNA". It matches the Rfam family "Bacterial small subunit ribosomal RNA", at positions 524 to 776 of the family's 1533-position model. The record is from RNAcentral.
UACGUAGGGGGCAAGCGUUGUCCGGAUUUAUUGGGCGUAAAGAGCGUGUAGGCGGUCCGGUAAGUCAGCUGUGAAAGUCAAGGGCUCAACCCUUGAAUGCCGGUUGAUACUGUCGGGCUAGAGUCCGGAAGAGGCGAGUGGAAUUCCCGGUGUAGCGGUGAAAUGCGCAGAUAUCGGGAGGAACACCAAUGGCGAAGGCAGCUCGCUGGGACGGUACUGACGCUGAGACGCGAAAGCGUGGGGAGCAAACAGG